Molecule: ribosomal RNA, 429 nt
Filed under: bacterium
Lineage: Bacteria
Description: partial 16S ribosomal RNA
Rfam family: Bacterial small subunit ribosomal RNA
Source: RNAcentral
UCGGGAAUUUUGCACAAUGGCCGAAAGGCUGAUGCAGCAACGCCGCGUGAGCGAAGAAGGCCUUCGGGUUGUAAAGCUCUGUUGCCUGCGAAGAAGGGCCCUGUCAGGAAAUGGGCGGGGUUUGACGGUAGCAGGCGAGGAAGCCCCGGCAAACUACGUGCCAGCAGCCGCGGUAAUACGUAGGGGGCGAGCGUUGUCCGGAAUUACUGGGCGUAAAGGGCGUGUAGGCGGCCUGUUAAGUCAGGGGUGAAAGACCGGGGCUCAACCCCGGUGGUGCCUCUGAAACUGGCGGGCUUGAGUGCUCUAGAGGGCAGUGGAAUUCCCGGUGUAGCAGUGAAAUGCGUAGAGAUCGGGAGGAACACCAGUGGCGAAGGCGGCUGCCUGGGGAGUCACUGACGCUGAGGCGCGAAAGCUAGGGGAGCGAACAGG